AUUGAACGCUGGCGGCAUGCCUUACACAUGCAAGUCGAACGGUAACAGGUUAAGCUGACGAGUGGCGAACGGGUGAGUAAUGUAUCGGAACGUGCCCAGUCGUGGGGGAUAACUGCUAGAAAGAGCAGCUAAUACCGCAUACGACCUGAGGGUGAAAGCGGGGGAUCGCAAGACCUCGCGCGAUUGGAGCGGCCGAGAUCAGAUUAGGUAGUUGGUGGGGUAAAGGCCUACCAAGCCUACGAUCUGUAGCUGGUCUGAGAGGACGACCAGCCACACUGGGACUGAGACACGGCCCAGACUCCUACGGGAGGCAGCAGUGGGGAAUUUUGGACAAUGGACGCAAGUCUGAUCCAGCCAUGCCGCGUGCGGGAAGAAGGCCUUCGGGUUGUAAACCGCUUUUGUCAGGGAAGAAAAGGUUCUGGUUAAUACCUGGGACUCAUGACGGUACCUGAAGAAUAAGCACCGGCUAACUACGUGCCAGCAGCCGCAGUAA
Molecule: ribosomal RNA, 493 nt
Filed under: uncultured bacterium
Lineage: Bacteria
Description: partial 16S ribosomal RNA
Rfam family: Bacterial small subunit ribosomal RNA
Source: RNAcentral